RNAcentral lists this ribosomal RNA (465 nucleotides) under uncultured bacterium. Its description in RNAcentral is "bacterial SSU rRNA". It matches the Rfam family "Bacterial small subunit ribosomal RNA", at positions 37 to 518 of the family's 1533-position model. The record is from RNAcentral.
UGGCGGCGUGCCUAACACAUGCAAGUCGAGCGAGGAGAUUCCUUCGGGAUGAUCCUAGCGGCGGACGGGUGAGUAACACGUGGGCAACCUGCCUCAUAGAGAGGAAUAGCCUUCCGAAAGGGAGAUUAAUACCUCAUAACAUUGCAGUUUCGCAUGGAACAGCAGUUAAAGGAGUAAUCCGCUAUGAGAUGGGCCCGCGGCGCAUUAGCUAGUUGGUGAGGUAACGGCUCACCAAGGCGACGAUGCGUAGCCGACCUGAGAGGGUGAUCGGCCACAUUGGGACUGAGACACGGCCCAGACUCCUACGGGAGGCAGCAGUGGGGAAUAUUGCACAAUGGGGGAAACCCUGAUGCCAGCAACGCCGCGUGAGUGAUGACGGCCUUCGGGUUGUAAAGCUCUGUCUUCAGGGACGAUAAUGACGGUACCUGAGGAGGAAGCCACGGCUAACUACGUGCCAGCCGCGGC